Bradysia coprophila is the source of this 290-nucleotide long non-coding RNA. Lineage: Eukaryota; Metazoa; Arthropoda; Insecta; Diptera; Sciaridae. The record is from RefSeq and is a predicted model, not a curated record.
GAAAUUAGUGCUAACAGCCAAAACCGGGUUAACACGAUGGGCUUUAGGGGCUUAGCCCCUUGGCGCUGGAUAAAAGUGGCGCUGGAAAAUUAAUAAUGAAUCGUGUUAAGUUUACUGGUUUCAUUAAAAUAAACUACUUUUACCGAUAUUUGAAAAAAAUAUUCCUGCGGCGCAAUUAAAAAGAUAUGGCAUCACAGUUUUUACAUUUUCUUGUUUGGAAAUUCCUGAUAUCCACUGUAUCCAGAAUACUGGGAAAUCAGGAAAAUUAAACUUCAAAUUCUUGAUUGGCA